AUGGUGGCGCCGGCUGCCGUCUCCACCUUCUCCUCCUCCUCCUCGUCUUCCUCUUCCGUCGCACCCAGGACCCACCGCCGCGGCCUCCUCAGCACCCGUGCGCCGCUGCCGCCGGCCCGGACCGUCGCCUCCUCCCGCGCGCCGCUGGUCGUGUCCAGCCCGCCGCCCACGCCCGCCCCCGCUCCGGGGCACGCCAAGGUCGACCGCUCCGGCCGGUUCUGCAGCCCCCGCGCCGCGCGCGAGCUCGCGCUGAUGGUCUCCUACGCGGCAUGCCUGGAGGGCGCCGACGUGGUGCGGCACUUCGACCGCCGGGUGGCCGCGAGAAGAGAGCCUGGCUAUGUUUUCAACAAGGCGUGCGUGCAGAGCUACAAUUUUAUGAGCUUUUGUGGGGGGCCUCUGGAGGUUGCGACGGAGGAGGAGGCCGAGAAGCUCAUGAGUCAGAAUGAGAAGGAUUCGGCAAAUGAAGCAGAAGUUCUUUCAGCUCCUCCAAGGCUGGUGUACAACAAUUUUGUGUUACGAUUGGCCCGGGACAUGUUAGUGGCAGUUGCCGGUGGAUGGGAUCAGCAUGUUGAAGUCAUCAACAAAAUAAUUCCCCAACAUUGGAAGGAUGAACCUGUUGCAAGGAUCCUAGAACUUUGCAUUCUUCAUAUUGCCAUGGCAGAGAUGACAUCGAAAGGAACUCCUCACAAAGUUGCCAUUAAUGAGGCGGUAGAUCUGGCAAAGCGGUUUUGUGAUGGAGGUGCUCCUCGGGUAAUCAACGGAUGCCUUCGAACCUAUGUAAAGGAUCACAUGAACAAUGGCACUAGUCAGGCAGCUGAACCAAAGCCAUAA
RNAcentral lists this ribosomal RNA (831 nucleotides) under Triticum aestivum (bread wheat). RNAcentral describes it as "partial small subunit ribosomal RNA". The record is from RNAcentral. Lineage: Eukaryota; Viridiplantae; Streptophyta; Magnoliopsida; Poales; Poaceae.